GUGAAUCAUCAAAUUUUUGAACGCAAAUUGCACUCUCUUCGGAGAGUAUGCCUGUUUGAGGGUCAGCCUAAAAAAAAAUCGACAUAGUCGCUGUUUCGCGGUGACUUUCGUCGGAAUUUGGGUCAUCUUAAACCUUUGGGUUUUACGCGGCUUAAAAUUUUCUUUACUAUUCCACAAAUGUUUCUAAGUUUUACUUUUUAUACUUUUAAUGUAUCGAUCUUUUU
RNAcentral lists this unclassified non-coding RNA (224 nucleotides) under Glomus sp. Its description in RNAcentral is "partial contains 5.8S ribosomal RNA and internal transcribed spacer 2". The stretch from base 1 to 65 matches the Rfam family "5.8S ribosomal RNA", at positions 84 to 154 of the family's 154-position model. Lineage: Eukaryota; Fungi; Glomeromycota; Glomeromycetes; Glomerales; Glomeraceae. The record is from RNAcentral.